This is a long non-coding RNA of Orcinus orca (killer whale), 1010 nucleotides long. RefSeq lists it as uncharacterized. The record is from RefSeq and is a predicted model, not a curated record. The transcript has 2 exons. NCBI's taxonomy places the organism in Eukaryota, Metazoa, Chordata, Mammalia, Artiodactyla, Delphinidae.
UCAAAUUCCUGCAAGCCACUGAAGAUUGCUAAGCGUCCUCAUUUUGGCAGUACUAAUUCAAGUAUUGUGUUGUUAGAGAUUUCCAAGAGAAUUCUUCCCCAUUAGACAGGAAGAAACAAAAGGCCUCAGUACGAGUGUGACAUACAGAGUGGUUUUCUAGAAGACAGGAACCAGUUCUCCUGCUGUGUCUUAUAGAAAGUCUAGCUCACUGCUGAUACUCAAUGAAUAUUAAAUUAUAAUAAUAAUGCUAUGGAUAUCAUUCAGGUUCUCUGACACGAUUACAACUUUCUACUCUGUUUUUGGUGUGAGAUCCUAUAAUAAAAAUGUUUUAUAGAAGUGAACGCACGUUAUAUACAGUUUGUCAAUCAGCUUAACCAGGUCAUAUUAGGAACGUGUUGGGCUCAAAUAAAGAUGUGUUUUCAAAGUCUAUGUUGGUAUGAUUCAACUGCAGGAGUGUUGGGUUCCUAAUUUAUCAUAAUAAAUUACUCCUCAAAAACAUUUAUUGUCAGACUGCAGUCGUUCUUGGUUCUAGGAAAAAUAAAUCAUUCUUUCCUACAGGAAAACCAAAGUAGGGCAAAAAAGAUUUUUCAAAUAAAAAAGUAAGCUCAAGUCCUACUGCUAGUUAAAAGCAUUCCUGGGAGAUUUUGUUUUAAUCAUUUUUGAAACUAUUCCAUUUAAAAAAGCAUAUAAUUAUUCAAGAAAAAGUUCAAACUCAUUCAUGUAACUCUCACUUUAAAGGAUAUAGUCAAGAGUCCUGAGAUGUUCCACAUGGCAUUUGUGGUAUCUCAGAACUUCCAAAGAAGUCUUUUGGCUUCAUGGAAGUUUGCUUGGAGUUGCCUUAGCUUAUCAACCUAAGGAAUCAUUGGAGCACAAUGAUUCCCCAUUGUCUUUUUACUUGUUUGUUCAUCCAUUCUAUUUCUGAAACUGUACCCAACACUUUCUCUUUGCUUGCUUAACUCUGUUUUCAUCAUCAGCCCUUCAGCUGAGGACUGAAAAACUCUUUUUAAAAA